GAUGAAGAACGUAGCGAAAUGCGAUAAGUAGUGUGAAUUGCAGAAUUCCGUGAAUCAUCGAAUCUUUGAACGCACAUUGCGCCUUCUGGUAUUCCGGAAGGCAUGCCUGUUCGAGAGUCAUUAACAACCGUUUCGAUCCCUUUCUUUCAGAAAUUACAAAGAGGAAAAGGGUUUGGUUAUGGUGGAGGAGGGAAAGGGAGCGUUUAGCCUGUAAAAAAAGAGGCUGUGUUCCGCCUCCCCCCCAAAAUUGUACAGGCGGUCGUGUGCGCCCACCCAUCGAGGUGUUGUAAAAGCUGCCACGGCACUUUUCACCUGUGCAGUGCGAGAUUGGCCAGCCGGUUUAAAAACCCCUCCAAACAAUCAAAGGUUGACCUCGGAUCAGGUAGGGAUACCCGCUGAACUUAAGCAUAUCAAUAAGCGGAGGA
This 425-nucleotide unclassified non-coding RNA is filed under the name soil metagenome. Its description in RNAcentral is "partial contains 5.8S ribosomal RNA, internal transcribed spacer 2, and large subunit ribosomal RNA". The stretch from base 1 to 120 matches the Rfam family "5.8S ribosomal RNA", at positions 35 to 154 of the family's 154-position model. The record is from RNAcentral.